This is a long non-coding RNA of Ailuropoda melanoleuca (giant panda), 5900 nucleotides long. Lineage: Eukaryota; Metazoa; Chordata; Mammalia; Carnivora; Ursidae. The record is from Ensembl.
UCCGUGUUGUCACUGUAACAGCCCAGGAGUGCCUACCUCCAGGCUCCUUUUACGUGAGCAAGAAUUAAAUUUCUCACUUCUUCAAACCAUUAUAAUUUUAGAUUUUCAUUUAUAGGCAGCUGACCCUCACCUUUACUGAUUCAUGGAGAAAUGAGAAAGAGUUUAUAGAAGAUGAGUCAUUUGUGGUUGAUCUUAAAAGUGGAUACAAUUUCAGAAGGUGGAAACUGGGGUGUCUGGAGGUAGAAAAUAAUUUUCAUGGGACAGAGUGAAUAAGAAUACAUCGGAGGUGUUUUGAAGAAAUAAAGAAUAAUUCAGUUUCACUAGGUUGAAUGAGAUGAGGUUGGAAAGGUAGAUAAGAGCUGAAUCACAAAGCCAGAAGCUCUUGGAGAUUAUUUUCAAGCAAUGGAGAGCAAUGGAGGUUUUCUGACUGGGAUGGUAGCAUAAGCGGAGCUACGCCUUAUUUUAGAAACACAGUAUGAGUCAGUUCUCUUCACGUUGCAGAAACAUAUCUCAAAGUAGAUUUUGUCUCAAAGAGAUUUAUGGGAAGAGAAAUUGGGGAAGAGAAACAGGAACUUAAAACAGGAGCCAAGGACCUCAGCAACCAGAACAAAAGACUCACGCCUUAAGGUCUCUUUGUCUUGACUUCAUUCUCUGCUGCAAGAGGCUUCUCAUGGCUGCAGCAUUGCCCCUUAUAGUGGCCCACCUAAGGGGGAAGAAGUGACUUCCCUUCCAGCUCUGGUUGAAGAUAUCUCUGCUGGAAGAUGCACUUUGAAUGGACAACCUUGGAAUAAUGCCAAAGGCCAGCGGGAAGGAUAUGAUGAUUGGCCUGAGUUGCCCACAUGUGUCCUUCCUCUCGUGGAUCCACCGUCCCACGGGAGCUGCGGGGAGACUCCACAGUGGCUGUUUGAGUUGGUGCUCUUGCUGCUCUGCCCUCUUGAGGCCUGGUUCUUCAUCAUUUCCUGGCUUAGGCUCCCUGGUUGGGCACAGAGAGGAAGUCACUGUCUUUGGAUUUUCAGGACACCUAGAGUUUCCUUAGACUCCCUUUAUGCCGCCUCACCUCUGCCCACUGCUACCUAGACUCUCCCUCCCAGGUGUUGUCACUGGCUGAACUUAUAGUUUGGAAUAAAACUAAGCAAUUUUAUUAAUUGUCACCUGAGUUGCAAAGUCUAGGAUGACAAGCAAGCCCUGAAAUGAAAACUUCCAAACUGUCUUGAUUUUGACUAAAUCUUUGAACCAGAGAGGAAAUUUAUGUUGGAAAUGGCUGACUUCUGGGAAGAAGAGGGAACAGCAGAUGGAAUGCCAUUUACCUUGCUCAUUUUAGAUACUGCUGACACUACUAGAGCUGUCAUCCAAGAGAAAAGGUAAUUAAACUCUCAAGGUAAGCAUACUCAGCAAGGAACUGUGUGGAUUACAGAAGCGCGGUGGGGAUGGGAAUGUGAAGGUGGCAGUGGAAACCUAGGGUUAUGAUGUGCCCACUGUGCGCCAGACACUGUGAAAUGCAAUGCUUUCCAUCAUCUCAUUUAAUCUCACAAGAGUAAAGAGCUGAUAUUUACAUAAUUUUGCCCCAACUCUUAGAUUUUAAAUAACAAAGCCAGGAGAAGAAUAUAGGUUCGUCCAACUCCACAGUGUAAGAUUUUCUCAUAUACUUGAGGAAAAGAAACUUACUUUCUAAACAUAAAUCAUAAUGGGCAAUAUCAAUUUAGAGUUUAGCAGAGUUUGAGGCCAUUUCCCUACUGUGAAAUAUCAUGCGUAUUUCCGCAGUAACUGGAAAGCAAAUUAGGGAAGGGUCCCUCCCCCCACUUAAUUAUAUCAAACAAAUGAUCUUACAAUUAUAUAAGAAGUCGCCCAUUACAGUCUAGCCAGUGGCUUGGCUUCUUGUCUAAACCUCACAGUGAAAUAUGCAGACUUUCUGGAACCACGUAUUAAAAUCUCUGCGGUUGAAUCAGCCCUUCUUCUUUCUGCAUAACCUAACCUCAAUACUGUUCAGCAUACAGAGAACUCCGGGAUGAGAUCCUUAAAGCCCAGUGUCAAAAGGUGAAUACCUGAUAAUCAUCACCUUAGUUUCAUGCUCGUGAAAACUGGCUUUGUCCUAAUUUAUUCUCAGAUACGUGGGUCUGUCCUGCAACGAGGUGCCUUGUUUUAUAGCCUUGUAAAGAGAUCGACCCCAAAUUUGGCAUCCGUGUAAAGUAACACAAUGAUGUUCUUGUGUAAACUAGCUCUGAAGAAAAUUCCUCAACAGAUAUGCCGAAAAUAGUGAGCGAUUCUGACAUUCCUCAAAUAAGCAUAUAGUUUCCAAGGUGAUUAUUGUGAAUGACAACCCUCAUGUGGGGGGUUAAAUUGAGUAGAUUUGACAGGGCUGCUGGAGAGCCGGAAGAGCACUGAGUGUUGAGUCACGAAGCCUCCUUUGGCAUCCCUGCCCGAGAGACACCGUUUGCAUUCUGCUGCUACCUGAGGGACAGAGGAAGUCACCUAACCUCUCUGAGCUUCCUUCCACAUUUGGGACACUGUUGAAUGACAUCUGCUGACACCGUUGUGAUAAUCAAGUGAAGCUGACAAUAUGAAAGCCCUCAAAACAGUGGGGCCCUGGAAUAGAAUGUGGUAACUCAUUUAUAGUUAACCUCCAGGUGAAGUCCCACAGUCUGAAAACAAGGUCUUCAAGUACUUAGGAAACAUCAGUGAUGUUAAUAAUUAGCCGUGGUGAGAAAUUCCAAAAUCACCCGUGUGUGUGAGGUCCAUUGAUUUCUGUGCUCGGCGUGAUAUGUAAAGACACCAGUAGAAUCCAUUUGUUCAACUUCAUGAGCCCCAGAAGACCAGCGGGUACUGCUGGCUUUUCAAUCCUGGAGCCUAGAUCUCAGCAGUUUUCACCGACUCACUUUAUCUCUGUCUAGAGUUAAUGAGAUCAGAGUAAACAUACUAAAAAACCUGGUGCUUUGCAAACCUUUAUGGUAUUUUAGAAGGCCAGGAAGAAAUCAUAUUUAUCAAGUGUAGGACUGGGUUGGGAGAAGAGUAGGACCAUAGUGGGUCCAUUCUGUCUGUGGGCUCAAAUACGUCCUUGGAGAUUUCUCCUGGAGGCAAGACUAUGCUGUGGAUAGAAGGCAGAAGUGAGAGCCAAGGACUUCACUCCUUCCUAAUCCGAGUUCUUUCACAGCAGCUACUUUGAGUUUUCUGUCACCACCUCCGUAGCUCACAAGCCCAUGGACGCUAGAGUGCCAUUUCUGCCCCUAGCAGGGAUAAACAGCUGCGUUAUGUUGGUGGAGUUACCUAGCCUCUCUUUGCCUUGGGUACCUCAUCGGUAAAGUGGGGAAAAUAACAGAACCGAUUUCCUUCAUACGUGUAAAGCAUUUGUAGAAGUGAGAAGCUGGGAAAGACAGCAUUUAAAAGCGUCAAUUCUGGGGGCACCUGGGUGGCUCAGUCAUUAAGCGUCUGCCUUCAGCUCAGGGCGUGAUCCCGGGGUCCUGGGAUCAAGCCCCAUGUUGGGCUCCCUGCUCCACUGGGAGCCUGCUUCUUCCUCUCCCCCCCCCCCCGCUUGUGUUCCCUCUCCCGCUGGCUAUCUCUCUCUCUGUCAAAUAAAUACAUUUAAAAAAAAUUGUCCUUAAAAAAAGAAAGCAUCAAUUCUGAAGAUAGAUUGCCUGGGUUCAAAUCCCAGUUCCACCACUCAUUUGCUCCUAUGAUCUUCUAAAAAUUGGGUGGUUAUAGUACUAGCCUCAGAUGAAGUGUGCUAUGCAUGGAUGGAUCUAACAGGGUCAGUGUAUAGUAAGUGCUAUACGGAUGCCUGCUGUUAUAUUAUUACUUGUUUCUGGGAAGGAUAUGGAAAUAAAAAAUUAAAAAUUUCCAACAUUAUUAUUUUUUUUCUGUGUUUGGUUCUAUUAAGUAUAAAAGUCACAUCAUAGUGAUGUUGAGAUUUCCUUCACUUUCUAGGCCAUGUCCUAGACUUUGGCCAUGUCCCUUACUUAACAUUUCUCUUUUCUAAGGAUUAGAUAUUGGCAUAUAUUUUACUGAUUCUUUAUUAAGACUAUUUUAUUCCCUGGUUUACUUCAAGUUCAGUAUCCAAUUCUUUUCUUCUUCUGAAAGCAACAAGUCAGUAAAUUUUAGAGGCUGUGUACAGAAGGGACUCACACAUUGGGAGGAUGAUAAAUGAACUAAAUAUUUGUUUGGGACAAUUUCUGAUUCUGUCUCUUCUCUCCUUUCCUUGCAGCAUUCAUUUCAAUGUUUUUGCCAUUCAUUUAUUCCUUCAGUAUUUAUUGCGAAGGCUUGUCAGGCACUGUGACAGGCGGUGGAAAAUUGUGGUUCUGACACUUGAAUGGUAUUUUACAGCUUACUGAUCGUUUAUGUUAAAUUCAUAUGUUAAAUUCAUUCAGUCCUCCGAGGUGCUCACUUCAUUUCACCCAGCUCUUCCUCCCCUUUUAACUUUAUAUUUCUCAUAACCAUCCUCGUUUCCUUGCUCAAAUCUUUAGUGUGCUGAAUAUUUGCCAAGUGCAUGGGGGGCGCAGUGGGGUGGGAAGUUGAUAGGAAGAGAAGGUGGUAGGUGAGGGAGGAGAUAUGAAUCAUGAGAAUGUAGGUCGGAGAUGUUUCCAAUACCCUAUACUUUAGGAUAAAAGGAUAAAGCACUGCCUCUUAUUUAGGAAAGUCCAAAGAGUCACUUGCAAAGGAACAAUGACCAUCCCUGUACCCAUCAUCAGAAACUGGAUUGAGACUAGACACAGGGCCGGCAAUACCUUAAGUAUAUUUAACAUACGCAAGAAGCCAGAGUUAUGGCCUUCCCUUCCUUCAUAAACACGCAGGCCCUUAAGUGCCAGCAUUAAAGUUCCCCAAUUACACUUCCUCCGGAGUUUCAUGAUAUUAACCAACAGACAAGAAAUAGAACAUACCAAAUUGACCAGAAAAGUAUUCCUUCAGUCUCAGAUCACCUGUGUCAUUCGUUAUAAUGCCUCUCAUGCACAACCUAGAUUUCUAUAAGGAAAUACCAAUGGCUUCCUGCAGUUAGACUAGCUUGUGGUGGAUAAAUGGGUUAUGUCAGCUAGUAGAGACCGAAGGAAGUAUGCCGCUGGUGUGUAGGCAUGCAGUAUUUCUCACAUUUGAGCUUAUACUGAUUUCUUCAAGGUACUUUGAAGAUUCACAGGAUACAAGCCAAUGAUAACCAUAGAUUAACUUCUGUGAAAUGUACCAGUCUCAUUCCUUACCUAGAUGCCUUUAACUUGCUUUGCCUUCUGCAUCGAACGCUCUUCCUCCAGAACUUUCCAUGGUUCUCUUUCUUGUUAUUCAGCUCAAAGUCACUUCAUGGAGAGGCCCUCCCAGCCAGUCCAUAUAAAGUAGUAUCUCCACUCUCAGUUCCUCUAUCUCAUUUCACAAUUCUGUUUACUUCAUGGCAUUUAUCUCUACGUAAAGUGGACUUACCUAUCUCUGUACUUAUUAUCUCUCUUCCUCACAACACUGUAAGCUCCAAGAAGGCAGAGAUUAUUUUUUCACGCGCUGCCUGGAACACAGAAGGCACUUAAUGUACAUUGGUCAAACGAGCGAGUGAGCAACAGAUGCUUACCGAAUGCCUAUAAUACGCCACUCCUAUUCUAGGCACUGGGGAUGUGGUAAUGAAUCAAGCAGACAAACUCCCUGAACUCUUGGAGUUUGCAUUCUAAUGCAGGGUAACAGAAAACAGAGAAGGGGAAGCUGCUGGGUGGGGCUGUGCUAUAUUAAAUAAAGUGAUCAAGGGAAGGUCUUGCUGUAGGGUCUUGAAGAAGGUAAGGAGGGAGGCACCUGAAGAAGGUGAGAAGAUAAGGCUGACGGGGGUAGACUUUAGCAAAGGGGAUAGGAAGUGCAAAGGUCCUGAGAAAAGAGUGGAGAGGCUAAAGUGCUAAAGCCAAUGAGCUCCUGGGUGAGUGGCAGCAGAUGGGUGGAGAGGUGCU